Molecule: ribosomal RNA, 515 nt
Filed under: uncultured bacterium
Lineage: Bacteria
Description: bacterial SSU rRNA
Rfam family: Bacterial small subunit ribosomal RNA
Source: RNAcentral
GAUCCUGGCUCAGGAUGAACGCUAGCUACAGGCUUAACACAUGCAAGUCGAGGGGCAGCAUGAUCAAAGCUUGCUUUGAUUGAUGGCGACCGGCGCACGGGUGAGUAACGCGUAUCCAACCUUCCCUAUAGUAGUGGAUAGCCCGGCGAAAGUCGGAUUAAUACACUAUGUUGUAUUUAGAGGACAUCUGAAGAAUACCAAAGGUUUACCGCUAUAGGAUGGGGAUGCGUCUGAUUAGAUAGUAGGCGGGGUAACGGCCCACCUAGUCGACGAUCAGUAGGGGUUCUGAGAGGAAGGUCCCCCACAUUGGAACUGAGACACGGUCCAAACUCCUACGGGAGGCAGCAGUGAGGAAUAUUGGUCAAUGGGCGAGAGCCUGAACCAGCCAAGUAAGCGUGCAGGAUGACGGCCCUAUGGGUUGUAAACUGCUUUUAUCGGGGGAUAAAGUCACCCACGUGUGGGUGUUUGUAGGUACCCGAUGAAUAAGGACCGGCUAAUUCCGUGCCAGCCGCCGC